AAAAAAAGUCACUGCUUCUCUCAAGGCACUCUCCCCCUCCAGGACCUAGAAACUAAUAACUCCUUUUAUCCUUUUAGGCCUAAUACAGUUAUUAGCCUCCAGUUACUGACCUAUCCUUUGCCCAUACCUUUCAAAAUAGCCCUUCAUUAUUUUGAGAAUGUUAUUUCCUGUUGGGACCCUGUCUGAUACACCUGGUAAAGUUCUGAAGGGUCAACUGCUGGAUUAAGUAGCAGAGAGUGACGCAUACCUGUGUGGUUCUCAUGGAUGGGACAGUGACAUCAAGGAGUUAAAAACCUGAGAGACAAUAAUAUCUCAGGCCCCUGUGACUUAGCCCCCAAAGAACCCAAGAUGCUGAACAGCUUUUCAAGCUCUGUGACUGUGGAACCUUCUGUGAUUCAAGUCCCCAAAGCCUUACACAAACUGAUGGAAUCUGUCUGCUGGGGCCCUGGUUUCUCCAUAACCUCCCAGGAUGCCUCUGAGAAAUCAGCUUAGAAAUCCCUGAGGAUGAUGAUGCUAUCCUCCCGUUGGCACAUUCUGGUUUUCCUAAAGACAAAAACUGAGCUAAUGGUAUGAUUUUUUAAAAAAGAGUAUUAGCAGAUUCCUUGAGGUCAUAUUUAUCCUUCUAUUGUCAGGGAUAAUUUACUUUAAUUCAUCCUCUUAAUUUAUUAUUCACUACUCUCUAUCAGGGAGAGGUAUCUGUAUUAAUGAACUGCAUACUUGGUAGAAGUCUGCUUUAUUUUGGGCAAAUCAUUUUCCCACAAAGCACUUAAUUUAAAUAUAUAUAUUUAUACGGUACUUUACAAA
Long non-coding RNA from Homo sapiens (human), 804 nucleotides. RefSeq lists it as uncharacterized. Lineage: Eukaryota; Metazoa; Chordata; Mammalia; Primates; Hominidae. The record is from RefSeq and is a predicted model, not a curated record. The transcript is spliced from 2 exons.